UUCAUAGAGUGUAAAGGCAUAAGGGAGCUUGACUGCGAGACCUACAAGUCGAGCAGGGUCGAAAGACGGACUUAGUGAUCCGGUGGUUCCGCAUGGAAGGGCCAUCGCUCAACGGAUAAAAGCUACCCCGGGGAUAACAGGCUUAUCUCCCCCAAGAGUUCACAUCGACGGGGAGGUUUGGCACCUCGAUGUCGGCUCAUCGCAUCCUGGGGCUGUAGUCGGUCCCAAGGGUUGGGCUGUUCGCCCAUUAAAGCGGUACGCGAGCUGGGUUCAGAACGUCGUGAGACAGUUCGGUCCCUAUCCGUCGUGGGCGUAGGAAAUUUGAGAGGAGCUGUCCUUAGUACGAGAGGACCGGGAUGGACAUACCUCUGGUGUACCAGUUGUCGUGCCAACGGCAUAGCUGGGUAGCUAUGUGUGGACGGGAUAAGUGCUGAAAGCAUCUAAGCAUGAAGCCCCCCUCAAGAUGAGAUUUCCCAACUUCGGUUAUAAGAUCCCUCAAAGAUGAUGAGGUUAAUAGGUUCGAGGUGGAAGCAUGGUGACAUGUGGAGCUGACGAAUACUAAUCGAUCGAAGACUUAAUCAA
Molecule: ribosomal RNA, 582 nt
Filed under: Staphylococcus aureus
Lineage: Bacteria; Bacillati; Bacillota; Bacilli; Caryophanales; Staphylococcaceae
Also listed under: 1 other name
Description: partial 23S ribosomal RNA
Rfam family: Bacterial large subunit ribosomal RNA
Source: RNAcentral